GAGUUCGGGCCGCACGCGCGUUACACUGACAGAGCCAGCGAGUACUUCCUUGACAGAAAUGUCCGGGUAAUCUUGUUAAACUCUGUCGUGCUGGGGAUAGAGCAUUGCAAUUAUUGCUCUUCAACGAGGAAUCCCUAGUAAGCGCAAGUCAUCAGCUUGCGUUGAUUACGUCCCUGCCCUUUGUACACACCGCCCGUCGCUACUACCGAUUGAAUGGCUCAGUGAGGCUUCCGGACUGGCCCAGGGGAGUCGGCAACGACACCCCAGGGCCGGAAAGCUAUCCAAACUCGGUCAUUUAGAGGAAGUAAAAGUCGUAACAAGGUCUCCGUAGGUGAACCUGCGGAGGGAUCAUUACUGAGUUUUUAACUCUCCAAACCAUGUGAACUUACCACUGUUGCCUCGGUGGAUGGUGCUGCUCCCUAGCGGGGUGGUGCUGCCGCCGGUGGACAAACUAAACUCUUGUUAAUUUUUGGCAUUCUGAAUCAAAUCAAGAAAUAAGUUAAAACUUUCAACAACGGAUCUCUUGGUUCUGGCAUCGAUGAAGAACGCAGCGAAAUGCGAUAAGUAAUGUGAAUUGCAGAAUUCAGUGAAUCAUCGAAUCUUUGAACGCACAUUGCGCCCAUUAGUAUUCUAGUGGGCAUGCCUGUUCGAGCGUCAUUUCAACCCUUAAGCCUAACUUAACGUUGGGAGACUGCACUAAACCGCA
RNAcentral lists this ribosomal RNA (706 nucleotides) under Ascomycota sp. LM517. RNAcentral describes it as "bacterial SSU rRNA". The stretch from base 1 to 354 matches the Rfam family "Eukaryotic small subunit ribosomal RNA", at positions 1478 to 1831 of the family's 1831-position model. Lineage: Eukaryota; Fungi; Ascomycota. The record is from RNAcentral.